Molecule: RNA transcript, 4256 nt
Organism: Aedes aegypti (yellow fever mosquito)
Lineage: Eukaryota; Metazoa; Arthropoda; Insecta; Diptera; Culicidae
Gene name: NADPH-dependent diflavin oxidoreductase 1
Exons: 8
Source: RefSeq, a predicted model, not a curated record
UGGAAAGGGGUGGCCGAUCAGGCACAUCAGGCACCGUGACUGUUCUCUUCUUUGUGUUUAUCGCAUCAUCUGGAGGGGAGCGCUCCUGGCAGAGGCCACUUCCAACUUUCCAACCCUCUCGGCCAGCACUAUCUAUCUUGUAAGGCGGCUCCUUGCGGUGGAAAGCAUCCAACAUUGUUGCAAUAAGGUGGAUUUAAGAGGUUUAUUUAAACUGGUCUGAACCGUCUGAACAUUCGAAACACUGAAGGGAGAUUCAUUCCUACAUCAAGUAUCUCAUUGCUAAGGCUUAACAUUUAAAAUUCAAUGUUGGCUAGAAAUCUUACGAUUCUAUACGGAAGUCAAUCCGGAACGGCACAAGACCUGGCCGAGCAGAUAUGGCGCGAUUCCAAAAUGUAUCACCUGAAAGGGGCCGUUUCCGCCAUGGAUGAAUAUGAUAUUGCAAAAUUGAUCGACGAGCGAUUUGUCGUCAUGGUGUGUUCCACUUAUGGCCAAGGCGAGGAACCGGACAAUAUGAAGCGAUUUUGGAAGUUCCUUCUUCGGAAAAAUCUUCCUUCGGAUUCACUGCGCGGAAUGUUCUUUGGAGUGCUGGGAUUGGGGGAUUCGCGAUACCCAAAGUUUAACUAUGUUGCGAAGCGUCUCCACAAAAGACUACUUCAACUUGGUGCGACGGCCCUACUUCCAGUGGGACUUUGUGAUGAUCAGCACGACUUGGGAUACGGAGCAGUUUUCAUGCCUUGGAUUACAAACUUCUGGAACAAGUUGAUCGAGCUGAGUCCAAUUCCUAACGGAUUGCAAAUAUUACAAGAGAGCCCUCGGGAGUAUCGAUGGCUUGUUGCGCCCUUUUCCGGUCCAGCUAGCGAAGAAAACGACAUGUACGCGGAUGUGAAAGUUGAUAAUUUGUUCGUUACAACCGUGGAAGAAAAUCGACGUACAACAGCGGAAGACCAUUUUCAAGAUGUGAGAUUCAUUACGUUUACGAAGAAAAGUGUCAACUGGAGUCCAGGCGACGUGGUAUAUGUUCGCCCCCAUAACUCCCCCGAAGACGUAGAUAGACUUUUCGAGUUGUUCCAAGAGCAUAAUAUGAAACUGAACAAAUCUACCGUUGUCCUGGUGCAGGAAAUCGAUUCCGGACUUCCUACUGCAAAAGUACAAAUGGAACAAGAUAUGGAGCAUGCAAGCUUGAUUCGUCAAAGGGUGAUUAAAUAUUAUCAGACAAGGUCCGGUGACUACAACUUGCAAGAAUUUCUCCAAUCGUUAGAAAGGAUAGUAAUAUCUGUUUCGAAUGAACAACAAAUCAUGAUGGCAAAACUACAAUGCCCGUUGUGCCCGGCAGGUAGUUUAAUCACUUGUCGGCCAGAGAAAUCAGGACUGUGGAAAAUUUCAAACUUUGUCGCACACAUUAAAAAUGUGCACAAAUUUGUUUCGGAGGAAACAACAGAAACCCGUAAAAGACCAACCGUUGAACGAAAGGCCUUCGCAAGGUCGGAAAAUUCAGAAGAAAAUGCAGAGCCAUCAUCUUCAAAAUUCGUCAAACUAACACUACCGGAAGUGCGGUAUGAUGUUCAGUCGGAAACAACAGUGCUUGAGAACUCACCAGAAACGUUGCAAGAUGAGAGCGUGCAAGUUAUAGAUUGCAACUCACACAGCAUCAUAGCCAAUUCUUCUAAGGCCGAUUGGAGUGAUGAUAAUUCCAAGGAUCCGCUCGCUGUAUCCCAAGUAAACGGUGAGGCUUUCGAUUUAAUUAUCGAAGAAAUUGAUGCCACCGGGUUUGAGCAACUAUUAAGUGAUUCCGAGGUGAGAUCCGAAUCUGAAGAGGUCGUCGAGGAAACCAUGUCAGAAGAUCUACUUUCAAAAUCAAAUAAUGACAUGCAAAGUAGAGUUUUAAACUUGUAGAGUGCUGCGAUGAGGCCGAUCGCAGUACGAAUGAUUCCACGGCCAGUCUGGAGCUCCAAUUGCAUGUUGCUAGUAGGUCGAAUUCUACUGUACCUAAAGGGAUGCGAUAUUCAUCUUUGGAAAAGGAUUUUUACACAUACAGAUUCAUUCAGGGGGGGAGAGAGCUUUAUACGUUUGAAAAAGCAAAUGCACCCUCUCCUCAUAUUAGGACUUUACAGCGACACCUUAAAAAUCAAGCUUCAGAAAUGACUGAAGGCUGCUUGAUGAUAAAAGAGCUAAAAGCAUACCUUGAAUGCAACGGAUAUCCUCCACAAAUUUGCUGGAGUGAAGAUGCCACUCGGAUCACAGGAGGCGUUGAAUAUAUCCGAUACAGAUCAGCUGAGUGGUCUUGUUGCAACACUAGACACUAAUACUGGGUUACCAAUCAUAGGACUUUUUGACUGUUCAACUCCACAAAAAGUUAUUAGCCAUCUUCGAAAGUAUCCUGUAGGCAGAAACGUACAGUUGGCCAUGGCUCAACCUAUAGCAACUGGAGCAUCACCGUUUUGCUGCCUAUACUACUGUACUGAUAACCGAUUUGAUACAGAGUCAGUUAAAAUUAAAUGGCAUCACGUUGAACAACAGCUUCAAAAAGAAGGAAUUGAAUUGGUUGCAAAAGCAACGGACGGUGAUAGCAGGUUCAUUAGAGCUAUGGUGGAUGAGAUGGGAUUCGCCACAGAACAGCUUGGUAGUUUUGGAAGUUGGUUCAUUGGCAGCGAGUCGGCCAUAUGCAUUCAAGAUCCAACACAUUUGGCGAACAAAAUGCGAACCCGUCUCAUGAAUCCGAAAAAACAAUUGAUAUUGGGCAACUACAGUGUAUCCCGGAUACAUUUGCAUGAACUUAUAUCAUCUGUAUCAAAAGACCAACAUGGACUGACUCUGAAUGAUUUAAUGGAAAAGGACAAGAUGAAAUUUAAACCAGUAGAAAAAAUGACCCAGCGAAGAGUGAUUUCCUGCUUAGAUAAGAUCCCUGACAGUACCGGUACUGCAGUGUACUUAAACGCGAUUAGUCACGUCAUGUCAUCGUACAUGAAUGCUGAACCAUCGCCGUUACAGAAAGUGUACAAUAUUUGGCACGUUCUGUUUUUGAUACGAGCAUGGCGUAAUUGGUGCGUAGCUAAAUUCAACAAUUUGCAAAAUUGUGUUACCACCAAUGUGUAUUGGGGUGUUGAAAUCAAUGCGCAUGCUCUAAUCAAUUACAUUGUCUAUUGUCGUGACACUGGUGCAACGUUCAAUACUACAUUGCUUCAAAGCCAAGCUUGUGAAGGGACAUUUCGAGAUGCUCGCGCCUUUUCGUCAACGGAAUCAACUGUUGUAAAUUUCACUAUGCAAGGCUUUGAAUCUCGAUUAAAUAAAAUCCAGUUUAAAAGAAACGUUAUGCACAGAAACCAGCACUCAUUAAACUUACCUUCUUUAAGCAAAAAAGCAGACUCAAAUGGUAUUGAAAUGCCGGCAAACGAAGAAAUUAUUGAAGCUGUUGAACAAUCUCGUGCGGCUGUCCAUGAGACUUUGGUUGAUCUAGGAAUUGAUGCAAGCCAAAUUUCAUUCGAAAGUAGUGUCACUACCAAACACCUUAAGGAAAAACCAAGUCAAACAUCUGACGAUUUUGAGUUCAUAACAGUGUCUGCGGAGUUUGAAGCACUCGAAAAGGAAAAUUUCGACCCUGAUGUACACGAUGCGGAUGAGUUGUUCCAUAAUAUUGGAGAAGAAAUAAUGUUAAAGGACUCUCAAAACUAUAAAAACGUUUUUAAGAUCAAAAACCGCCAAAACAAGAUUGUACAUGUUAAGAAACGAACAUUCUUGUGGAUGUUGACGUCCGGGCUGCAAAAAUGCUCCACGGAUCGAAAUUAUCGCUUUAUCGACAAACAAGAUAAAAGCGACAAUCCGAAAUAUGUGAACGAAAUUUACGAAAAUAUUGUUGUUGGAGAGUAUGUACUUCUUAAAGAGGAUAGUGUGCUGACUGUUUUCAAAGUCUAUGGCUUCAAAUACUUAAAAGGAAAGAACUGUGCAUAUUCGGCAUCAAUAGCUCCUGUACGACCUCCUAAUAAUGUGGAACCAAGAGGUAUUGGACUUCAAGGCUGUACAUUUGAUAUUAUAGAAUGCGACGGAGAAUAUGUUCUAGAUUUAGCAAGCAAUAAUGUCAUUAAAGACAUAAAGUACUAUAUGUCACAUUUGCAAAAGCCUGCAGUAUUGUCAGCGUUGUUAUAUUACUGUGAAGAUUGCGUUACAUACAUAAAGAAAUUUAAGUAGAUCAGAGAUUCCAACUACCAGAAUGAUCAUGUAUUGAUGACUAAUCGAAUAUUAAAUAAAUGUUCAAAACAAAA